CUCGCAUUCAUUCAGUCGUCGUCCAACCACGAUGUGUGACACUUGGUUAAAAAGCAGCUUGUUUUAUAGCUUUGUAAGAUUAUAAUAUUCUUUAUUGAUUUAUUUAUUUAAUUUAUUUCUGCUUUUUUUUUUCUUCUGAUUUUGAUAUUUUGCCGUUUGCCUGUACAUUCGCAUAUGGACGUGUGAAAAAUUGUGAAAAAUUGUAGAAAACAAAGAAAGAAAAAGUGUAUAGACGGUGGUUUAAAAAAUUUUCGUGACCAAUUCGUAAAUGAAUAAAAAGGAUGAUACGGAAAAAAGAGACAUGAAUGAAAUGUCAACACACUAAUACAUCAUUAUAUUUACUAUAAAAGGUUCCCUUGACUGCAAUCGUUGUCAAUUGCACUUCGACCACGGUCUGGAACAAUACUACCUUAAGAAGAACGAGAAAAUAGAUUUGCUAUAACAGUUAUAAAAGAGAGACUUAUUUUUUUUAUAAUAUCAAUCAAUGAUAUCAAACUGUGAAAUAUUUGAUAUUUUUUUUAUAACAAGUUUUCUGACGAUAAGCCGUGAAUGUAUUCGUCAACGAGUGAUUAUGACAGCUCUAUAGUCAAUUGUAUUAUUAGAAAAAUUAAUAGAAAAAAAGUGUGUUAAUGUCGAACGAAAAUAGUGAUAUGGUAUGGUUCAAUUUUUUUUCUACAUACAUAAUGUACACUCAAUAAUCAUUUCUAUAAUCGUAUUAUAUUUUUUAUUUCAUUUGAAACUAAUUAAGUCUUUCAUGUAUCGAUGAAAAGUGAAAAAAAAAGAAAUAAAUGAAAAAAAAAAAUUAAAUAAAAAUAAAUUAAAAAAAAAUAACAAUAUCUAAGUUUUAAUGUUACGUUAAUUUUUUCUGUUUAGAUUCUGCUAAAAGUUACCAGCGACAGAGAUAUAUUUCUUAUUAGAAUAAAAGGAUUACAAUUUGGAUAACUUUUGGAGGAUAUGUUAGUUCUUAACGAAACUAAUUAAAGAAGAUCGAUCCUAAAUUACUGAUUAGAAGAAGGAAAUAGAAGCUUUCGUGUCAAAUAAUAUUUCGCUUCCCUUUUUUUAUUAUUCUUUUAUUUUUUUCUUCUUUUCUCUUUUUUUCUUUCUUUUUUUUUUUUUGUUUCCUCGAUACAAACACCAAAAAAAUGAAUGGUAACGAUCUUCUCUUUGCAUACUUAAUUAAGUAAAUCGCAUUUAAUCGUGAAUGCAACUCCUUCUUAUUGUUUGAUUAAUUAAUAUUAGUAAUAAUAAUAAUUACAUAAUAGAAUGGUGGUGAAAGAUUUUUUUCACUUCACUCAGAAUUGUAAAAGAUGAUAUUUAAUUUACAAGUAAGUACCGUACGCAAUAAGAACAACAACAAUAAAAAUAAUAAUAAUAAUAAUAA
Vespa crabro (European hornet) is the source of this 1381-nucleotide long non-coding RNA. RefSeq lists it as uncharacterized. Lineage: Eukaryota; Metazoa; Arthropoda; Insecta; Hymenoptera; Vespidae. The record is from RefSeq and is a predicted model, not a curated record. The transcript is spliced from 2 exons.